RNAcentral lists this unclassified non-coding RNA (236 nucleotides) under Hevea brasiliensis (rubber tree). The record is from RNAcentral. Lineage: Eukaryota; Viridiplantae; Streptophyta; Magnoliopsida; Malpighiales; Euphorbiaceae.
CUGAACGACUCAAUUCCUUCUCUCACCAUGGUGGGUUUUGGUUUGUGGACAGGGUGGUCUUCGUCAUCACCGAUGAACCAUUGCACUGACUCGGUGCGGCGGGGGCGGAGGAGGCGGGAGCGGCGGAGGAGGAAGGCGGCGGCGGCGAGGGCGGCGGAGGCGAAGGUGAGGUUUUGGAGAAGAGGGUUGUCUCUGGUGAGAAUGAAGAGGAGGAUGAGAGCGAAAAUGGGGAGUGG